CCUGUAUAGAGAAGGGCCCUGUGUUGACCUGUAUAGAGAGGGCCCUGACCUAGAAGGCCCUGUGUUGACCUGUAUAGAGAAGGGCCCUGUGUUGACCUGUAUAGAGAAGGAGACACAAAUGGCACUUAUUCCCUGUGUAGUGCACUAUGGGUGCACUAUGAACCAUAGGGUUCUGGUCUAAAGUAGUGCACUAUGUAGGGAAUAAGAGUUCCAUUUAGUAGACCUGCUUGGUAUCAUGACAGGCCUAGACUAGUGCUGCUCUGUUCUUCAGAGAGAUCUGGAUGAAUGAUCAGCAGUAAUGGGAGCAGAUGUUUCCCAGUACUGACACUACUGGGUGAUGUUCAUCACUCCUACAACGUGCUGCUGAGGCUUUGUUUUGUAUUUCUAUAGUGGAGCAUCUGCAGGUGCAGUCAAAUUAGAGGCUGUUGACAAGGACCCAAUGAAUACAACUGUAUUGAUACAGCUUUAUGACCCAAUAUACCAGGCAGGUAGGAUCAUAGAACGAUACAUUCUAUGGGAAGAUGGCUUUAUGACCCAAUAUACCAGGCAGGUAGGAUCAUAGAACGAUACAUUCUAUGGGAAGAUGGCUUAUGACCCAAUAUACCAGGCAGGUAGGAUCAUAGAACGAUACAUUCUAUGGGACGGUGGCCCACGGCCUUUAAUUGCCUACAUAAUUGAUGAGUUUAUUUCCAAACACAAUUUUUUGUAAAAACAUUUUUUUUUAUAUAAACCUUUUAUUUAACUAGGUACGUUUUCACGUUUUGUGUUUUUUCAUCAGAAAUGAUUGCUUAUGGGUGCCUUCGUGUGUCUGUAAAAUAUUACUGUUCUUAUUCGUAGAUUUUAGAUGUGUAUGAAAAUGUUUUUUUUUUUUUGCUAAACACUAUACAGGUUAGCUGUAAUGUAAUGUUCAUAUCCUGUAUAGCUGACUGUGAUAUGUGGUCUUCUCACCAUAUCUUAAGAUCAAUGCACUGGAUAAGAGCAUCUCCUAAAUGACUACAAUUUGAAAUGUAAAUGUUUUGCAUACAGAUCUCAAAUUACUGUAUUGAAUAAUUGUUUACCUUUUUUCAUUUGUCA
Long non-coding RNA from Oncorhynchus tshawytscha (Chinook salmon), 1074 nucleotides. The record is from Ensembl. NCBI's taxonomy places the organism in Eukaryota, Metazoa, Chordata, Actinopteri, Salmoniformes, Salmonidae.